This is a long non-coding RNA of Neofelis nebulosa (Clouded leopard), 2483 nucleotides long. RefSeq lists it as uncharacterized. Lineage: Eukaryota; Metazoa; Chordata; Mammalia; Carnivora; Felidae. The transcript has 2 exons. The record is from RefSeq and is a predicted model, not a curated record.
AUCUCCCUGAGUUUUAUGGCAGAGUAGAACUGGAAAAAGACUUAACACUGACAGGCAGCCUUUUAGAGUUUGAGGGUAAUUUGUUUAUCACAGACUCAAGAUCCUCAUGACAUAGAAUUACUUACUCCCCGAAAUAAAGAAGCUCAGCCUAAACUCCUCCAGUUUUCUUUUGGUAUUUCAGUGCUUCUGACAGGUUAGGAUGCUCCGUUCUCCCCAGUGAACUCUUGCUGUCAUUCACAUCUCAAGAAUGAGUACGGCCUUCAGGAAUGAGAGGGUGGGUUGUAUACAUUAGUGCUGGCCAAGUUUGCACUGUUUAUCUUACUGGAAAGUCAACAGUGUGACUAUUAACCUCCUGCACAAUUAAGAUGUAGGCUUUUUGUUAUGUUGUUCUUAAACAUGUCGCUAAAUCUGAUUUUUAUGAGGCAGAGAGAGAUGGGGAGAAAAAGGGAAAAUCUGGCCAUUCAGGGGGCUGAGAGGGAUCAACACCUGGAGCUGCUGUUGGAACUUGCAAGUCUGGCAGCCAGUGGCAUUGAGUGGUCAGGGAAGUCUAGAUCGGUCUGCAAAGGUACUUGGCCUGGCUGCGUUUGCUUUUACUUACCAGGUUAAGUGGGUCUUUUGAACAGAUGAGAUUUCUUUAGAGAAGCUGAAGGACAAUGAGACUUCUUUUUAAAAGAAGCCUUCUGCUCUUGAAAAAAGAGCACUUGUUAUUUAAAAAAUUAAAAAGGAAAUGCCUUAUAGUUAAACCUUUAGGUUCCAGUGGUCAUCAACUCAUUCCUAGUAAAAUGAGCUGAACAGUAAAUACGAGGCACAAAGAAUGAGGAAGAAAACAGAGUUAAACAGAAGUGGCUGAGGGCACACAUUCCAAAGCACCACUCCCUGCUGCCUCCUCCUGCAGGUAUGGCCCCAGACAAUUUGAUGAACCAAGGAAUUUUCUUGUAAUAACGAUAGAUUACCUAUUGCAUAGAUAACAUUAUUUACACCCCCAGAAUGUGUCCUCCCCUCCUUUCCUAUGUUCGUGUUGAUUACUGCCACUGCUAUUUGCUAACAAACACUGUAUGAUACUGUGCACUUACUCUGUGCCUCUCAGGUUCUCAGUGACUUUUUAUGAUGAACCUUUGUGAUGGUCUGUAUUUUUAUCAGAGGAAUUAGGUAAAUUGCUCAAAGUUGUGCAGCCAGCAACAUUUACAACUAAAAGACUUCCUUAAAGAGGAGAAACACUGGUUUGACUUUCAGUGACCAUCUGCUGACUCCCUGAAGUUUACAGCUCUUCCAGCACUUUCUGCAUGACAAAUCACAUCUUCCUAAUAGCCUGCACUAUGAAAUUAAUAAGGAGUUCCAUCUCUACAUAGUGUUCCUCAAGUAUAACUUCUGCUCCCCACCCCACCCUGCCCUGCGAUCACUGGAUAUAUUCAAUUAAGUAAGAAUUACGUUUCAGGUUUGUAGAGAAUGAGGUCCUUCUGUGGCUCAGCAUCAAUGCCUCGAAUUUGGGCUGGAGAAAUAAAAGAUGAUGGUAUUCAUCCAGCAUCUGACCCACAGUAGGUACUUAUUAGUAAAUACUCUUUGCAAAGAGGUGUGGUAUAAUUUGAGAGAAAGUAGCCCUGACUAAAUUUUUGGAUAGAGUGGACUUUAUUCAUCCAUGCUGGCCCUGAACUGCGUUUAAGAACUAGUUUAGUCUGUCUUUGUUUUUAAUGUUUAUAUAUUUUUGAGACAGAGCAUGAGCGGGGGUGGGGGUGCAGAGAGAGAGACAUACACAGAAUCCAAAGCAGGCUCCAGGCUCUGAGCUGUUAGCACAGAGUCCAACACAGGUCUCGAACUCAUCAACUGUGAGAUCAUGACCUGAGCCAAAGUCCAAUGCUCAACCCACUGAGCUACCCAGGCGCCCUGCUUAGUCUCUCUUUGUUGUUUUUUAAGUAAUGACCAGUUUCUUCAUCCAUCCAUGGGCUCAUGGUUCAGUACUGUCAGGAAACAUCGUUCAUUUCUAUCACAGAGUGUCAGGUUGAAUUGUCCUCCCUGGAACCCGUGUCACCUCGGAAAGCCUAGGGGAUGAAGAGAAGCAGUUCUUAGACAGCAACAGAUGUUUCUACAAGUGAAGUUUUGCUUUGUACUCAGGAUUUGAUCUGACGCACCAGAUUAUAAAACCAAGAAUAAAGGAAGGGAGGAUUUUGGAGAAGAUGGAAAAGGACACAUUUCUGAGUUUUCUGUGUGCUAGCAGUGUUGUUACCUGUAGGCAGGAAGUUCUAGGUCUACUGAUGGCUUUGUUCCUAUAGGCUUUUCAUAGUUCACAGUAAUUGGCAAUAUGUGACUUUUUAGAUUUAAGUGAUGGAUUUUUAGCCUCCCUGAAAGAGAUGUUUAAAACACCAUGGCACAGAGCAAUACUUAGCAGCCUCUGCCAUAGCCAUCAGCAUUGUGUGCUCAGGCAUCUGAUACUGAGUAAGGGAGACUUACUUUAGAAUGGUGGUGAUGAUUGGGCAUUCAGGUCACUU